UGGGGAAUAUUGCACAAUGGGCGGAAGCCUGAUGCAGCCAUGCCGCGUGUAUGAAGAAGGCCUUCGGGUUGUAAAGUACUUUCAGCGAGGAGGAAGGCGUUGUGGUUAAUAACCGCAACGAUUGACGUUACUCGCAGAAGAAGCACCGGCUAACUCCGUGCCAGCAGCCGCGGUAAUACGGAGGGUGCAAGCGUUAAUCGGAAUUACUGGGCGUAAAGCGCACGCAGGCGGUCUGUCAAGUCGGAUGUGAAAUCCCCGGGCUCAACCUGGGAACUGCAUCCGAAACUGGCAGGCUAGAGUCUUGUAGAGGGGGGUAGAAUUCCAGGUGUAGCGGUGAAAUGCGUAGAGAUCUGGAGGAAUACCGGUGGCGAAGGCGGCCCCCUGGACAAAGACUGACGCUCAGGUGCGAAAGCGUGGGGAGCAAACA
Molecule: ribosomal RNA, 427 nt
Filed under: uncultured bacterium
Lineage: Bacteria
Description: partial 16S ribosomal RNA
Rfam family: Bacterial small subunit ribosomal RNA
Source: RNAcentral